RNAcentral lists this ribosomal RNA (324 nucleotides) under uncultured beta proteobacterium. Its description in RNAcentral is "bacterial SSU rRNA". It matches the Rfam family "Bacterial small subunit ribosomal RNA", at positions 171 to 490 of the family's 1533-position model. Lineage: Bacteria; Pseudomonadati; Pseudomonadota; Betaproteobacteria. The record is from RNAcentral.
GCAUAAUCUCUAAGGAGAAAAGCAGGGGAUCGCAAGACCUUGCGCUUUUGGAGCGGCCGAUGUCUGAUUAGCUAGUUGGUGAGGUAAAGGCUUACCAAGGCUUCGAUCAGUAGCUGGUCUGAGAGGACGACCAGCCACACUGGGACUGAGGCACGGCCCAGUCUCCUACGGGAGGCAGCAGUGGGGAAUUUUGGACAAUGGGGGCAACCCUGAUCCAGCCAUGCCGCGUGAGUGAAGAAGGCCUUCGGGUUGUAAAGCUUCUUCAGCCGGAACGAAAAGGUUACGGUUAAUACCCGUGACUAAUGACGGUACCGGAAGAAGAAG